AUCCCUAUAGCUCAGUUUUAGAGCAUCAGUCUUGUAAACCGAAGGUCUAUAAUUCGAUCCUACAUGGGGGCA
Molecule: non-coding RNA, 72 nt
Organism: Glycine max (soybean)
Lineage: Eukaryota; Viridiplantae; Streptophyta; Magnoliopsida; Fabales; Fabaceae
Source: Rfam